AUAAAUGCUAAGCGAACGGUGAU
RNAcentral lists this non-coding RNA (23 nucleotides) under Arabidopsis thaliana (thale cress). The record is from RNAcentral. Lineage: Eukaryota; Viridiplantae; Streptophyta; Magnoliopsida; Brassicales; Brassicaceae.